Molecule: long non-coding RNA, 960 nt
Filed under: Astyanax mexicanus (Mexican tetra)
Lineage: Eukaryota; Metazoa; Chordata; Actinopteri; Characiformes; Acestrorhamphidae
Description: lncRNA (ENSAMXG00005000314.1)
Source: RNAcentral
CUUUACAGAGCAAGGGGAUUCAAACAAAGCAGCCAAAAAGUUCAGUGAGUACCUGAAAAUAAGAAGAACAUGCUACGGAAAAACAGAAUGGGUGGACAUGAAGUGGAAGGGAGGAGUUCUGACCCAUCCAGUUCAGCAAGAUGGUAGUAGCUGUGGUGUUAUUGUCAUCAAGAUGGCAAGGGCAGUGAUGGAGGCCUUUCCAGCUGUUCCAGAAAUUUACUUCGACACAUCCAAAACCGAAAUGGCCAAAGAGAGAAAGACAAUGGCUCUACAAAUCUUACAGGAAUCAGGGUUUGAUUCAGAAAAUAACUGUUCCAUGUGUUCCAUGGCAAAACCCCCUGGAUCUGGGCCACCAAUGACAAACUGGAUCCAGUGUGACACGUGUUUUCGUUGGUUCCAUGAGCUCUGCCUAAAUAUGGACACCGAGAAACUCAUUCAAGCCAGGGCAAGCAUUUGGAACUGCUGCUUAUGUGUAGUGUAAAAAACUCCAGUCCAAAUAUGGAUAUGUACAUAUGUAUGUAUGCAUUUAUUUUUUGUAUGUAUGUAUAUAUAAUUUGUAUGUAUACUUUCUGUAAAUAUUUGUAAGUAUUAUGUACAUAUGUUAUACAUUUGACAUUUAUUAUUGAUAAAAAAAUUAUAACACUAUCUAACUUUAUUGCAUGAAUCUUUUCUAAUGUUUACGUCAGAUCCCUAAGAGAAGCAUUCUGGAAUAGCUGUAGAGCAUAAUAGAGCUCUUUGGGAGCUCUUUCUCUGCACAAAAACAAUAUAGAAAAUAUUUAGAACUUGGGGCUGCUGUUUUGCUAGCAUCUCGCAUGUAAUUUUAGCUCGCUUAAAACAUUGUCUGGCCUUCAAAUGCAUGUGGUUUGUUCAUUCUGUAUACAGUAUCAUUUUUUGUGUCUCACUUUAAAGAAAAAGAAAAUCAGUUUUUUACAUAGUUUAAUAAACUUGUUACAACAUCCA